Molecule: ribosomal RNA, 310 nt
Filed under: bacterium B4(2012)
Lineage: Bacteria
Description: bacterial SSU rRNA
Rfam family: Bacterial small subunit ribosomal RNA
Source: RNAcentral
GAUCAUGGCUCAGAUUGAACGCUGGCGGCAGGCCUAACACAUGCAAGUCGAGCGGAAACGAGUUAUCUGAACCUUCGGGGGACGAUAACGGCGUCGAGCGGCGGACGGGUGAGUAAUGCCUAGGAAAUUGCCUUGAUGUGGGGGAUAACCCUUGGAAACGAUGGCUAAUACCGCAUAAUGCCUACGGGCCAAAGAGGGGGGACCUUCGGGCCUCUCGCGUCAAGAUAUGCCUAGGUGGGAUUAGCUAGUUGGUGAGGUAAUGGCUCACCAACGGCGACGAUCCCUAGCUGGUCUGAGAGGAUGAUCAGCC